Molecule: ribosomal RNA, 478 nt
Filed under: uncultured bacterium
Lineage: Bacteria
Description: partial 16S ribosomal RNA
Rfam family: Bacterial small subunit ribosomal RNA
Source: RNAcentral
GACGAACGCUGGCGGCGUGCUUAACACAUGCGAGUCGAACGGUAAGGCCCUUCGGGGUACACGAGUGGCGAACGGGUGAGUAACACGUGGGUGAUCUGCCCUGCACUUCGGGAUAAGCCUGGGAAACUGGGCCUAAUACCGGAUAGGACUCCGGACUGCAUGGUCUGGGGUGGAAAGCUUUUGCGGUGUGGGAUGGGCCCGCGGCCUAUCAGCUUGUUGGUGGGGUGAUGGCCUACCAAGGCGACGACGGGUAGCCGGCCUGAGAGGGUGACCGGCCACACUGGGACUGAGAUACGGCCCAGACUCCUACGGGAGGCAGCAGUGGGGAAUAUUGCACAAUGGGCGCAAGCCUGAUGCAGCGACGCCGCGUGAGGGAUGACGGCCUUCGGGUUGUAAACCUCUUUCAGCACAGACGAAGCGCAAGUAACGGUAUGUGCAGAAGAAGGACCGGCCAACUACGUGCCAGCCGCCGCAGUAA